RNAcentral lists this ribosomal RNA (403 nucleotides) under uncultured bacterium. RNAcentral describes it as "bacterial SSU rRNA". It matches the Rfam family "Bacterial small subunit ribosomal RNA", at positions 65 to 475 of the family's 1533-position model. The record is from RNAcentral.
AACGGCAGCCGGGCUUCGGCCUGGUGGCGAGUGCGAACGGGUGAGUAAUACAUCGGAACGUACCCAGAAGUGGGGGAUAACGUAGCGAAAGUUACGCUAAUACCGCAUACGUUCUACGGAAGAAAGUGGGGGAUCGCAAGCCUCAUGCUUUUGGAACGGCCGAUGUCUGAUUAGCUAGUUGGUGGGGUAAUAGGCUCACCAAGGCGCGAUCAGUAGCUGGUCUGAGAGGCGCCGCCCCUGGUCUGAGCUCGGUCCAGACUCCUACGGGAGGCAGCAGUGGGGAAUUUUGGACAAUGGGCGCAAGCCUGAUCCAGCAAUGCCGCGUGAGUGAAGAAGGCCUUCGGGUUGUAAAGCUCUUUUGUUUGGGAAGAAACGGCGGGGCUAAUUCCUUUGCUAAUGGCGG